This 494-nucleotide ribosomal RNA is filed under the name uncultured bacterium. RNAcentral's name for it is "partial 16S ribosomal RNA". It matches the Rfam family "Bacterial small subunit ribosomal RNA", at positions 28 to 507 of the family's 1533-position model. The record is from RNAcentral.
GACGAACGCUGGCGGCGUGCUUAACGCAUGCAAGUCGAACGGUGAAGCGCCUUCCUUUUUGGUGGGUGUGGAUGAGUGGCGAACGGGUGAGUAACACGUGAGUAACCUGCCCCCUUCUUCUGGAUAACCGCAUGAAAGUGUGGCUAAUACGGGAUAUUCUGGGUCUGUCGCAUGAUGGGUCUGGGAAAGAUAUUGUUUCGGUGGGGGAUGGGCUCGCGGCCUAUCAGCUUGUUGGUGGGGUGAUGGCCUACCAAGGCGGUGACGGGUAGCCGGCCUGAGAGGGUGGACGGUCACAAUGGGACUGGGACACGGCCCCGACUCCUACGGGAGGCAGCAGUGGGGAAUAUUGCACAAUGGGCGCAAGCCUGAUGCAGCGACGCCGCGUGAGGGAUGGAGGCCUUCGGGUUGUGAACCUCUUUCGCCAGUGAAGCAGGCCUGCCUCGUUUGUGGGUGGGUUGACGGUAGCUGGAUAAGAAGCGCCGGCUAACUACGUG